This 253-nucleotide ribosomal RNA is filed under the name uncultured bacterium. RNAcentral describes it as "partial 16S ribosomal RNA". It matches the Rfam family "Bacterial small subunit ribosomal RNA", at positions 524 to 776 of the family's 1533-position model. The record is from RNAcentral.
UACGUAGGGAGCAAGCGUUGUCCGGAAUCAUUGGGCGUAAAGCGCGUGUAGGCGGUUCGGUAAGUCCGCUGUGAAAGUCGGGGGCUCAACCCUCGAAAGCCGGUGGAUACUGUCGGACUAGAGUGCGGAAGAGGCGAGUGGAAUUCCUGGUGUAGCGGUGAAAUGCGCAGAUAUCAGGAGGAACACCGGUGGCGAAGGCGGGUCUCUGGGCCGAUACUGACGCUGAGGAGCGAAAGCGUGGGGAGCGAACAGG